AGCAUUUGUUGAGCAUUCACCACUCAUAUUUAGAACUUGCUCCAUAUUUUUUUGAGAUGGAGUCUUGCUCUGUUACCCAGGCUGGAGCACAGUGGCACAAUCUUGACUCACUUCAACCUCUUCCUCUCAGGUUCAAGCAACUCUCCUGCCACAGCCUCCUGAGUACCUGGGACUACAGCUAUGUAUCUGUUGUGAAAAUUCCCAUCCAGCUUCAAGAAUCACACUCUCAAGCAGAAGGCGAUCUAAGAGAAAGCAAGAGGCACACUACUCCAGGUUGGUAAGUAGUCAAAAAUUUAUUCAGGGGAAACUUACAUAUGAGGCAGUCUUGGGUGCAGCAAGAUAAGUUGGAGGUAGAUCACAUUUGCAAUGCGUUCCUGUCUAGUCUUGUAUACCAUGUGAAGAAAAAAAAAAGAAAAAAGAGGGAAAAUGUCACUGAUAGCAUGUGAAGCUGUCUGGUUCCUUUCUUAAUCUAUUCACUCUCUUCUUAAAGAGAUUGUUGGGUUUCCCCACAGUGUGGUCAAUAUCCCUAAAUGUGCGUGUAAGGGUGAUCAGAGUAGGCUCAGGUAUCUUAGUUCUCUGGUCACAACUGACUUUGUGGUCAAAUGUCCAGAAUAUGUUUUCACAACACUAUGUUUCUAUUAUCUAUCUAUCUAUCAUCUUCAUCUAUCUAUCUACCUUCAUCUGUCUAUCUAUCUAUCUCUAUCAUCUAAUUUAUCUCCUGUUGUUUCUGUUUCUCUGAAGAACCUUUACUAAUACAGAUGUUUAAUACUAAGUUUCUUUAAUUCUAAAUAAAUGAAAUGUUAAAGAUGAGAUUUCAGCAUUGGUUCCAAGGCUUCUGGAAUUGGCUCUCUAAUCUGAUUGGAUUUAAAGUUGCUAAUGACUAUUUUCAGUAGUACAGAGAGAACUAAAAGUCUAUGGUGUAAUCUGUCAAUAGAAAUACACAAAACACCUCCAUUAAAUUCUCUUAAUAAACCACUUAUUAAGAAGCAAGGAGGUGAGUGACUGUGUAGAUAACACUUCUGAACAUUUUUAGAAAACUAACAAAUAUAAUGAGGUUGGCAGACUGCUU
RNAcentral lists this long non-coding RNA (1069 nucleotides) under Callithrix jacchus (white-tufted-ear marmoset). RNAcentral describes it as "lncRNA (ENSCJAG00000058757.2)". The record is from RNAcentral. Lineage: Eukaryota; Metazoa; Chordata; Mammalia; Primates; Cebidae.